Molecule: long non-coding RNA, 2806 nt
Filed under: Homo sapiens (human)
Lineage: Eukaryota; Metazoa; Chordata; Mammalia; Primates; Hominidae
Description: HSALNT0347398
Source: RNAcentral
UCACCAUAAGCUUUUGAUAGGGCUUUUGUCUUUCCCUUUCUCAUACAUUUUUCUGUCCUAGAGAAAGUGGGAGAUUUAAAAAUUAUGUAUUCUGUCUUUGCUUGGGUACUGUGAAGUCAGGUAUAUUUGUAGAGUUGGGUUAGCGAGGUAGUGACAAUUUCCUUUUAAAGAUGUAUAUCUUCUUUCUCCCCAAUUCUUUCCAAAGAAAUUACUGAUGCUGAGGAAGAUCCUGAGGAUAAAGCAACAAACGCAGUCUGGAACCAGUGACAUUAAAGACCUGAACCCUGCACCUCAUCUUGGGACAAUUCUAAGGGCUACCUGAGUUCCACAUAUUAUCAAGGACUCAGCUGAAUCUUUUGGGAGCGGUUAUGGACAACCUAAGGUAAUAACUGGAUCCAUAAAGAUGGAAGAAAGAAUGACUGAGCAGGGAUGGUCUUCAUUCUAACCGAAGGUAAUGGGAAAUCAAAGUUAGUUACAAUAAAACUCAUGGGAAUGGGAGAGAAAUAAACAGCAGUCAAUCUUUUUAGUUAUAGAGGGGUUGUGCUUUGAUAUGAUUCAAAACCUAAACCUAACCUGUAUUUUAUGUCAAAAGUUGAUAGGACCUUUCAGUGUUGGACACUCAAUUCUGACUUUACGGACUUCCCAAUACUGGAAAAAGAAUGUGUGAAAUUCCAUUUUGGUAUUUUCCACAGUGGUACUUUCCCAUGUUUCCUAACAGCUGAAGCCUGUAAUCUACCCUCCCCUCCAGCACAUCAUUUGCUUCCCAGGAGCUCACAAGAUUGAGGCCAUAUGGGUGCAUAUCCUUAAAUUCCCCCAUGGUCACUCCACAAUCUUCUUUGAGUGGCCUUUUUACUUUCUUUUGUCCAAUAUUAAUGUGUUUCAUCCCCUUCAUCCAAGCUUUUUGAAGGAAGUGACAUCUCAUUCUUUUUCUUUUUUUUUGAGACAGAGUCUUGCUCUGUUGCCCAGGCUGGAGUGCAGUCAUGUGAUCUUGGCUCGCCACAACCUCUGCCUCCCGGGUUCAAGCGAUUCUCCUGCCUCAGCCUCCUGAGUAGCUGGGACUACAGGUGCGCGCCACCAUGCCCGGCUAAUUUUUGGAUUUUUAGUAGAGACAGGGUUUCACUAUGUUGGCCAAGCUGGUCUCAAACUCCUGACCUCAUGAUUCGUGCCUGCUUCAGCCUCCCAAAGUGCUGGGAUUACAUGUGUGAGCCACCAAGCCCAUCUCAUUCAUUUUUAUAGGUCCAAUAGGCCAAGUAUAGUGCCAUGAACAUAAUUUGCACUUAACAAAAGUCAUUAAGUAGGUAGACUUGAAUGUUUCAGUCCAGUUUAUUAGUAUUUUCAAAAUCUGGGCAGAAUUAGGAUGUACAUGUUGAAAUGAAAGAGGAAAUAGUCAUUAUUCAGGUUUUGUUGACUUCCACAGAGGCUCUUGAGAAUCAAAAGUUAAGGCAUGGGGGGAACCAAAGCCAGAGUUCAAGUCCUAAUGCUAGAUUAGAACAAGAACAGAGAAAGAGGCUAAUCACUCCAGCCACCUGGUAGAUGAGGGUCACUUGGCUAGUGCAGUGAGUCACUGAAGUACAAUCUGUCACCCUCUCCCUUUCUUUACUUCCCCUACUCUUUCUUUCUGUCACCCUCUUCCUCCCCUCCACUCCCUUCCCCUCCCUCCCUCCCUGCUUCCCUACUUCCUUCCUUCGAGUGGCCUUUUUACUUUCUUUUAUCCAAUAUUAAUGUGUUUAGUCCCAGCUUUUUGAAGGAAGUGACAUCUCAUUCUUUUCUUUUCUUUUUUUUUUUUUGAGACAGAGUCUUGCUCUGUUGCCUAGGCUGAAGUGAAGUAGUGUGAUCUCGGCUCGCCACAACCUCUGCCUCCCAGGUUCAAGCGAUUCUCCUGCCUCAGCCUCCCGAGUAGCUGGAACUAUAGGUCAUCUAGGGGAAAACAGAAGUAUGAGGAUUGAGACUUCUUCUGAAAAUCAGUGAGUGGCUCUCUGCAGUGGUUACAGAAAUGCCCCAGCAUGGACUCCCUCCUGUAAACUGGCUCUGCUGUCCCAGCAGUGACGGAAAGCACUCAAUUUGUUUUCUCUUGGAAGAGACAGAGUGGCUGUCAGUUUACUGCAAUAUUUUGGACUGCCUGGAAAAUUCAAUGUACAACAGGAGAAAGGAGAGGCAGGAGACAGACUCUGGAAUAGAAGUCAAAGACAAAGAGGCUCGUAAACAUCAAGAUUCUGGGGCUAAUCUAGCCAUUCACAGCUUUAGAACCAUGGACAGUAAAACUUAAAAUAUAUACUAUGUUCUAACCACCACAAGGUUAUUCACUCUAGCAACUAAAAAAGCACUGGCCUCAGGAUUUGCAACAUUAAAAGUCACAGCUCAUCCACCAUCAGAUGCUAACUGACCCUGCUGUUCCACAAGCCAUAACUACAGCUUUGAUUGGACAAGAGUCUGGUUUCAGUAACUUUCUCCUGAUUAAGAAGACCACUGACCAUUGACUGGUUUUGCCAGUUUACAGAGAUUACACACUUACCUACCUUUGUAUGUAAAAUGAUCUUUUGAUAUAUAAAGCAUAACUGUAGCACAUUUAAAUGUUAAGUAGCCACCCCAAAGUGAACAUGGGUCAUAUGUUACGUGCAUGUUUGUUCAAUAGGCAUGUGUCAGGACCACCUUCAUGAAUAUUCAUAGCUCCUCCUGUAACCAGUUAAAUAUAUAUGUUUAGCCAACCUCUUCAGCAUAAAGCUCCCACCCCAAGCCCUCCUUUGAAGGGCCUGUCUCUAGUUUUGCCUGGAUGGCCACCUUGCAGGCUGUAACCCUUUGGAAGAAA